Molecule: long non-coding RNA, 1626 nt
Organism: Marmota monax (woodchuck)
Lineage: Eukaryota; Metazoa; Chordata; Mammalia; Rodentia; Sciuridae
Exons: 2
Source: RefSeq, a predicted model, not a curated record
GGCGACAAGAAGGCCGCCGCCUGCCCCUCCUCCCGCUAGCACAGGGUCGGGACCGGCGAGCUCUGCCCGAGCGGGGCAGCUUGGCCUGCGCUUCCCGAGGUGCGCCUGCCCAGGCGCGGCUCAAUCGCGGCGGCUGCGCGGGUCCCGACACCGAGCAUGCCCAGAGCCACCAGCGCGCGGUCGGCUCCCGCGUCCUCAGCGGCCGGCUGGAGCCAGAGGCCUGGGGCAGUCGGAGGAGCCCGGGCUCGGGCGUUGGGGGCGCAGGCCUCCCGCUGGUGAGGGCGGCUCCCGAGGGUGCCCUGUGCCCACCCUCCAACACUCGCGCCUCCUGCGCGCGCUCCUGGCCUCCUUGCGGCGCUAGCCACCCAGCCCGAGCCUCCUGGCGCCGCCUAGUCCACGCGGAAGUCCCCGAGUGACCUGGGGGAGGCCCUCCCUCCCCACGCACGCAGAUUCACGAGCCCGCGCGGAGCACGAGUGACGCGUGCUCGCCGGCCCGGCACCGGCGUCCCCUCCAUCCUCCUCCCGCUUCCUGUCACCGCGCCGCCCAGCUCCUGGCCUCGAAGCCACGUCCCCUCCUGAGCCCAGGCUGCGGUGAAACCUGUUGCUGUGGCUCACGUUUCUAUCCCCUCCCGCGGCCGCUGAAAUGGCUCAGCGAGGCGUGCCUGUGGGAAGCCAGGGGGCCACCCAGCUCAGCAAGAAUCAGCAGAGAGUUGAUCAUGUCCAGGAAGGCCCUAGAACUCCAAAGAUGAAAUCUCACAUUGGAUGAACUCUGCAUUAAGUUCCCUCAAAACAAAUCCUAUAAGAAGGAAGCCACAGUGAGUAUGGAUCUUCAAUAGGAAACCAUCCAGACUCAUCCUCAAAGGGUAGAGACAAGAUGACAUUCCUCAGGAUCAGUGCUGUUGAUAGGAUUUUAAAUGUGUAAGUCAGAGAGUUUGAAAAGGGAAGAAUAGAUCUAUUUGCAAAAUUCCCAAACCAAUUUUGAAAUCAUCAGCCUUGACUCUGAGCUUCCCUGUGCUGUGGCAUUUAGAGUAAUAAAGACAUGGCUGGCAGAGGGCUUGCGUCUCAUCUUUAUUGCAUGAACUACAUGCAGGUCAUGCCACAUGCAGAUGCUGUGUGAGAGUGACUGGAGUGAACUGUAUAUAGAAUGUCUGGAACCCAUCCCCCAUUUCUGACCCAGCCUAGGACCACAGCUUCCCAUGAAAGGGGCCUGACUACUUGGCCGUGGUGUUUGGCAGAUAGAAUCAAUGGGAUGCCCUAAUGGAUGAAGCUAGAAAAUACAGCAUAAAAAUGGCCCUGAAUCUUUUCAUCACCAUCCUUAUUGAAAGGCACAGUGUAUCCCUCUGCUCACUCAAACCAGGGUCUUCCUGUUAGCUACCUGCAACAUUUCUUCUUUAAUUCUGCAGAUACUGUGGCUUGAUCUUCGCUAUAUGUGUAGAUAUUUUCAAGAUGGAACCUAAGUAUAUAUAAUGUGGUUUUCUUCUUUCUUUCAUUUGGACAGAGCUGUACUUACAUAGAGAAAAUUCCCUUUAAAACACAUACACACCUUAAAGGUUUUGGUUCUGUAGCAAACUGUGAGAUUGUAUUUAUUUCCUACGUUUUCCUCAAUAAAACCAAAAUGGUACUUAA